GAUGUAUUUCAUUUAAGCAUGAAUAUUGGAACUAAAAUUUGGUGCCAUGUGUUUUGGGAAAUUCGGCCAAAUCCUUAGGGUGAUUUUUUGGGUUCAUGUUUGUCUUGUUAAAAUGGUUUUAAGGUGACUUUUGGAACCCCUAAGUACCCUAGGAUAUUAGCCCUCUUUUGAGAGGUGAAAAAUUGAGUUUUGGUGAAUGAAAACAUCCAUGGAACUAUUAUGAGUUUUCAUGGUGUUCUUCAUUGUUCUUGGUGUUCUUGCCAAGAACAUAAAGUUUCAAAAGUUUUAUGUUUAUCAUAAAGUUUUGGUAUAUAAUUGAUUUAUUAUUUGAUGGGUGAUGUUAUUGGUGAGAUGUGAUGAAAUGGUUUAAUGUUUUGUCAUAAACUUUAAUUCUUUCUUACAAACCAUCACCUUCACCAUUAACCUCACCUAAUAAAAUCAACUUGCAAAAACUUUUUAGAAAUUUUUUCAAUUUUUUCAUUAAAUGGCCGGCCACCCCUAGUGGGGGUCCUUUUGGGGCCUUUUGUGCAAUUAACAUAAAGUUUUGAUACUUUUGUGUUUUUUGCAUUUUGGCCCAAAAGUUUACGUUUUUACGUUUAGGCCCUAAAACUCUAAAGGACAAAUUGUUUUGAUCCUUUAAUGAUGUUUUUUACAUUAUUAAAAUUUUGGGAU
This 672-nucleotide long non-coding RNA is filed under the name Malus domestica (apple). Its description in RNAcentral is "long non-coding RNA (MDOM_LNC002937)". Lineage: Eukaryota; Viridiplantae; Streptophyta; Magnoliopsida; Rosales; Rosaceae. The record is from RNAcentral.